RNAcentral lists this ribosomal RNA (253 nucleotides) under uncultured bacterium. RNAcentral's name for it is "partial 16S ribosomal RNA". It matches the Rfam family "Bacterial small subunit ribosomal RNA", at positions 524 to 776 of the family's 1533-position model. The record is from RNAcentral.
UACAGAGGGUGCUAGCGUUGUUCGGAAUCAUUGGGCGUAAAGGGCGUGUAGGCGGUUUGUUAAGUCAUGUGUGAAAUCCCUCGGCUCAACCGGGGAACGACGCAUGAAACUGGCAAGCUAGAGUACCAAAGAGGGGGGUGGAAUUCCCGGUGUAGCGGUGAAAUGCGCAGAUAUCGGGAAGAACACCUAUGGCGAAGGCAGCUCUCUGGGACGGUACUGACGCUGAGGUGCGAAGGCGUGGGGAGCAAACAGG